This 500-nucleotide ribosomal RNA is filed under the name uncultured bacterium. Its description in RNAcentral is "partial 16S ribosomal RNA". It matches the Rfam family "Bacterial small subunit ribosomal RNA", at positions 30 to 523 of the family's 1533-position model. The record is from RNAcentral.
AUUGAACGCUGGCGGCAUGCCUUACACAUGCAAGUCGAACGGUAACGGGUCCUUCGGAAUGCCGACGAGUGGCGAACGGGUGAGUAAUAUAUCGGAACGUGCCCAGUAGUGGGGGAUAACUGCUCGAAAGAGCAGCUAAUACCGCAUACGACCUGAGGGUGAAAGGGGGGGAUCGCAAGACCUCUCGCUAUUGGAGCGGCCGAUAUCAGAUUAGCUAGUUGGUGGGGUAAAGGCCUGCCAAGGCAACGAUCUGUAGUUGGUCUGAGAGGACGCCCAGCCACACUGGGACUGAGACACGGCCCAGACUCCUACGGGAGGCGGCAGUGGGGAAUUUUGGACAAUGGGCGCAAGCCUGAUCCAGCAAUGCCGCGUGCAGGAAGAAGGCCUUCGGGUUGUAAACUGCUUUUGUCAGGGAAGAAAUCUUCUGGGCUAAUACCCCGGGAGGAUGACGGUACCUGAAGAAUAAGCACCGGCUAACUACGUGCCAGCCGCCGCCGUAA